UCUGCCUCAACAAGAAUGGAGUGCUCGAACGGAGAAUUUAGCAGAGUUUUGAGAUAGAAAAGAGGGCUUAGAGAAUAACGUAUCUGGAUCCCCUUUUAUAGGCAGAGGGGGCAACGGAUUGAUGGUGACACCUGCAACCGUCUGGUAGUGGGCCGCCCACGGUCAGGGAAAUUAAUUGCGGAGAGUGGUGGGGUAGACUCAUGGCUAUUGUCAUAGUCUGCCACGUAUGUCCUGUUGCGGAUAGUGGGGCGGCGUCCGUUGCCGCUAGCUGUCAGCGAGUAGUG
This 284-nucleotide long non-coding RNA is filed under the name Elaeis guineensis (African oil palm). Its description in RNAcentral is "long non-coding RNA (EGUI_LNC021395)". The record is from RNAcentral. Lineage: Eukaryota; Viridiplantae; Streptophyta; Magnoliopsida; Arecales; Arecaceae.